GCGAAGGUGGCGGAAUUGGUAGACGCGCUAGCUUCAGGUGUUAGUGUUCUUACGGACGUGGGGGUUCAAGUCCCCCCCUCCGCACCA
Molecule: transfer RNA, 87 nt
Filed under: Salmonella enterica subsp. enterica serovar Enteritidis str. 622731-39
Lineage: Bacteria; Pseudomonadati; Pseudomonadota; Gammaproteobacteria; Enterobacterales; Enterobacteriaceae
Also listed under: 1 other name
Description: tRNA-Leu
Rfam family: tRNA
About the family: Transfer RNA (tRNA) molecules are approximately 80 nucleotides in length. Their secondary structure includes four short double-helical elements and three loops (D, anti-codon, and T loops).
Source: RNAcentral